UACAGAGGUCUCAAGCGUUGUUCGGAUUCAUUGGGCGUAAAGGGUGUGUAGGUGGCGCCGUAAGUGGGGUGUGAAAUUUCGAGGCUUAACCUCGAAACUGCAUUCCAUACUGCGGUGCUUGAGGACUGGAGAGGAGACUGGAAUUUACGGUGUAGCAGUGAGAUGCGUAGAUAUCGUAAGGAAGACCAGUGGCGAAGGCGGGUCUCUGGACAGUUCCUGACGCUGAGGCACGAAGGCCAGGGGAGCAAACGGG
This 253-nucleotide ribosomal RNA is filed under the name uncultured bacterium. RNAcentral's name for it is "partial 16S ribosomal RNA". It matches the Rfam family "Bacterial small subunit ribosomal RNA", at positions 524 to 776 of the family's 1533-position model. The record is from RNAcentral.